CACGUAGGGUGCGAGCGUUGUCCGGAAUUAUUGGGCGUAAAGAGCUCGUAGGCGGUGUGUCGCGUCGGCCGUGAAAACCUGCAGCUUAACUGUGGGCUUGCGGUCGAUACGGGCAUCACUGGAGUUCGGCAGGGGAGACUGGAAUUCCUGGUGUAGCGGUGAAAUGCGCAGAUAUCAGGGGGAACACCGGUGGCGAAGGCGGGUCUCUGGGCCGAUACUGACGCUGAGGAGCGAAAGCGUGGGGAGCGAACAGG
This 254-nucleotide ribosomal RNA is filed under the name uncultured bacterium. RNAcentral's name for it is "partial 16S ribosomal RNA". It matches the Rfam family "Bacterial small subunit ribosomal RNA", at positions 524 to 776 of the family's 1533-position model. The record is from RNAcentral.